GGGAGGAGAAACAGUAGCAAGGGCUGCUACUAUAGAGCCUCUUGAUGUGCAUGGAACUAAGGCGGAAUCCUCACAACAAAUCAUCGAGAAAAAAUUGAACUUUGAUUGCACUGAAGAGAAGACAAAGAAGAAAAAAAAGAAAUCACGAAGAUCAACUGGGGGGAAUCUAUCCCAUAUGGAGACGAAAGGUCAAAACUAUGAUGCUUUUGAACCAACAAUGAUGAGUGCCACUCACACUACUAAUGAGCAUACCACGUACACGAAGCCCAUGAAAGUUCCGUCACAUACAUCCGAAGGCAAUAAUGAGGGUGACCCUUCUCAAUCCAUCACUAAGGUGGAUCUCCUCAGUGGUGACCGCUUAGAUAAAGGAGAAAACAAUAUGUCUCAAGCCAGUGAAGGAGAAACGAUAGUGAGGACAGCUAUCGUGGAGCCUCUUGAUGUUCAUGAAACUAAGGUGGAAUCCUCACAACAAAUCACUGAGAAGGUAAAUUUUGAAAAUACUGAAGAGAAGAAGACAAAGAAGAGAAGAAAGAAAUCAGGAAGAUCAACCGUGGAGAAUCUACCCAGUGUAGAAGUGAGAGAUCAAAGUCCAACACUAAUGAUACACUACUCAUUAGUGCGACCGUGGAUGAGACUGCUAAUGGGCAUAUUAGUUACAUGAAGCCCAUGGAAGCUCCAUCACACACAUCUGAAGGAAAUAAUGAGGGUGACCCUGCUCAAUCAAUUUUGAAUGUG
Molecule: long non-coding RNA, 735 nt
Organism: Eucalyptus grandis
Lineage: Eukaryota; Viridiplantae; Streptophyta; Magnoliopsida; Myrtales; Myrtaceae
Exons: 3
Source: RefSeq, a predicted model, not a curated record